UACGUAGGGCGCAAGCGUUGUCCGGAAUUAUUGGGCGUAAAGAGCUCGUAGGCGGUUUGUCGCGUCUGUCGUGAAAGCUUGGGGCUUAACCCAAGUCUGCGGUGGAUACGGGCAGACUAGAGGCAGGUAGGGGAGAACGGAAUUCCCGGUGUAGCGGUGAAAUGCGCAGAUAUCGGGAGGAACACCGGUGGCGAAGGCGGUUCUCUGGGCCUGUACUGACGCUGAGGAGCGAAAGCGUGGGGAGCGAACAGG
RNAcentral lists this ribosomal RNA (252 nucleotides) under uncultured bacterium. Its description in RNAcentral is "partial 16S ribosomal RNA". It matches the Rfam family "Bacterial small subunit ribosomal RNA", at positions 524 to 776 of the family's 1533-position model. The record is from RNAcentral.